This 426-nucleotide ribosomal RNA is filed under the name uncultured bacterium. RNAcentral describes it as "bacterial SSU rRNA". It matches the Rfam family "Bacterial small subunit ribosomal RNA", at positions 354 to 796 of the family's 1533-position model. The record is from RNAcentral.
GUGAGGAAUUUUCCGCAAUGGGCGAAAGCCUGACGGAGCAGUGCCGCGUGAAGGAUGAAGGCCUAUGGGUUGUAAACUUCUUUUCUCAGAAAAGAAUUAUGACGGUAUCUGAGGAAUAAGCAUCGGCUAACUCUGUGCCAGCAGCCGCGGUAAGACAGAGGAUGCAAGCGUUAUCCGGAAUGAUUGGGCGUAAAGCGUCUGUAGGUUGUUUAAAAAGUAUUCUGUCAAAGAUUAGGGCUUAACCCUAGAUAGGCAGAAUAAACUUUUAAGCUAGAGUUUGGUAGAGGCAGAGGGAAUUCCCGGUGGAGCGGUGAAAUGCGUAGAUAUCGGGAGGAACACCAAAGGCGAAGGCACUCUGCUGGGCCAAUACUAACACUGAGAGACGAAAGCGAGGGGAGCAAAUGGGAUUAGAAACCCUGGUAGUCC